RNAcentral lists this unclassified non-coding RNA (275 nucleotides) under Hevea brasiliensis (rubber tree). Lineage: Eukaryota; Viridiplantae; Streptophyta; Magnoliopsida; Malpighiales; Euphorbiaceae. The record is from RNAcentral.
GCUGUCGGAGGCGGGGUUUAGUCCAAUCACCGCAUCGCCUGAACCCAUCAAGAGGCCGUCAAGCGUUGACGCCGCCACGCCGCGCAGGUCGUCGGUGGGAUGGUUAGGUUGCAGGCGCACCGACAGAUGCCCUUCGAGCCCGAUGGUGUCGCGGAAGCGGGUGAUCGCACGGCACUUGCGCGCCACCGCGAUCAGGUCCUGGUUACGCAUGAUNCGAGACGGCGGCGACCAUUUCCGGCGUGAGGCCGCGCGCAAGCGCCGCGAGCGCUUCCGUU